UUAUCUUUAAUAAAACAGCAUUCCCUGAGCUCAAAGAACACUCGGCUUUCUACAGAUGAUGAGCAUGGCUAUUUAUAAUAACUAUUUAUCUGAAGUUGUGAUGAAGAACACAGCUGAGGCUGUUAUAAUUCCACUGAAAGGUGGCAUCUCCUCCCUGAAUGAAGUCUAUCAGGCUCUUAUUGAGGCAGAUGUAGAUCCUGUAACUGGGAAAUGCUCCAACUACGACUACAUCAGACAGCAGAUAGUGCAGUCUCAUCAGUUCCUGGAGCAGUCAGAACAGGCAGCUAGUUCAGGGUUACAGAGUCUGGA
This is a long non-coding RNA of Hemibagrus wyckioides, 309 nucleotides long. RefSeq lists it as uncharacterized. The transcript has 3 exons. The record is from RefSeq and is a predicted model, not a curated record. NCBI's taxonomy places the organism in Eukaryota, Metazoa, Chordata, Actinopteri, Siluriformes, Bagridae.